Molecule: transfer RNA, 73 nt
Filed under: Caudoviricetes sp.
Lineage: Duplodnaviria; Heunggongvirae; Uroviricota; Caudoviricetes
Description: tRNA-Lys
Rfam family: tRNA
About the family: Transfer RNA (tRNA) molecules are approximately 80 nucleotides in length. Their secondary structure includes four short double-helical elements and three loops (D, anti-codon, and T loops). Further hydrogen bonds mediate the characteristic L-shaped molecular structure. tRNAs have two regions of fundamental functional importance: the anti-codon, which is responsible for specific mRNA codon recognition, and the 3' end, to which the tRNAs corresponding amino acid is attached (by aminoacyl-tRNA synthetases). tRNAs cope with the degeneracy of the genetic code in two manners: having more than one tRNA (with a specific anti-codon) for a particular amino acid; and 'wobble' base-pairing, i.e. permitting non-standard base-pairing at the 3rd anti-codon position.
Source: RNAcentral
GAGUCAUUAGCUCAGUUGGUAGAGCAGUGGUCUUUUAAACCAUUGGUCUGGGGUUCAAAUCCCCAAUGGCUCA